UCCAAGUAGGAAGCAGGAUUGAUUGCCAAUCAAUUCCACCUGCUGUUGUGCAAAGAGAACAAACAACAGGUGGAAAUGAAGGGCGAUUAGCAAGACAAUUCGUACAAGGAAUGGUUUUGCAGGUUGUGGCUUCGACCACCGUAUUUUUCCUUUAUGGCUGAUUUUGUUAGCAAUUGCGCUUUUUUCACCUUGAGACUGUCUACACGCUGCAAAAGUUGCUCAACUAACCUGCAUCCAAUUGAGCACUCCUGGGACAUCAUGUCUUGUUCUAUCCUGCAACACCAGGUCUCACCACACUGCUCUGGAAAGGACCCUCUGAUACAGG
Molecule: long non-coding RNA, 325 nt
Organism: Corythoichthys intestinalis (scribbled pipefish)
Lineage: Eukaryota; Metazoa; Chordata; Actinopteri; Syngnathiformes; Syngnathidae
Exons: 2
Source: RefSeq, a predicted model, not a curated record